Molecule: non-coding RNA, 66 nt
Organism: Strongyloides papillosus
Lineage: Eukaryota; Metazoa; Nematoda; Chromadorea; Rhabditida; Strongyloididae
Source: Rfam
GCACCCGUCGGUUAGAGCGUGGGUCUAAUAAGCCCAAGGUCGCAGGUUCGACCCCUGCUGGCGGCA